This 72-nucleotide transfer RNA is filed under the name Collybiopsis luxurians FD-317 M1. RNAcentral describes it as "tRNA-Cys (GCA) (tRNA-Cys-GCA-2-1)". It matches the Rfam family "tRNA". From Rfam's summary of the family: Transfer RNA (tRNA) molecules are approximately 80 nucleotides in length. The record is from RNAcentral. Lineage: Eukaryota; Fungi; Basidiomycota; Agaricomycetes; Agaricales; Omphalotaceae.
GUCCGCGUAACUCAGUGGUAGAGUGUGAGAUUGCAAAUCUCGAAGCCCCGUGUUCGAACCACGGCGCGGACU